GUCGAGCGAACAGAUGAGAAGCUUGCUUCUCUGAUGUUAGCGGCGGACGGGUGAGUAACACGUGGGUAACCUACCUAUAAGACUGGGAUAACUCCGGGAAACCGGGGCUAAUACCUGAUAAUAUUUUGAACCGCAUGGUUCGAUAGUGAAAGGCGGCUUCGGCUGUCACUUAUAGAUGGACCCGCGCCGUAUUAGCUAGUUGGUAAGGUAAUGGCUUACCAAGGCGACGAUACGUAGCCGACCUGAGAGGGUGAUCGGCCACACUGGAACUGAGACACGGUCCAGACUCCUACGGGAGGCAGCAGUAGGGAAUCUUCCGCAAUGGGCGAAAGCCUGACGGAGCAACGCCGCGUGAGUGAUGAAGGUUUUCGGAUCGUAAAACUCUGUUGUUAGGGAAGAACAAAUUUGUUAGUAACUGAACAAGUCUUGACGGUACCUAACCAGAAAGCCACGGCUAACUACGUGCCAGCAGCCGCGGUAAUACGUAGGUGGCAAGCGUUAUCCGGAAUUAUUGGGCGUAAAGCGCGCGUAGGCGGUUUCUUAAGUCUGAUGUGAAAGCCCACGGCUCAACCGUGGAGGGUCAUUGGAAACUGGGGAACUUGAGUGCAGAAGAGGAGAGUGGAAUUCCAUGUGUAGCGGUGAAAUGCGCAGAGAUAUGGAGGAACACCAGUGGCGAAGGCGGCUCUCUGGUCUGUAACUGACGCUGAUGUGCGAAAGCGU
Molecule: ribosomal RNA, 720 nt
Filed under: Staphylococcus sp. Y77-MSE-E14
Lineage: Bacteria; Bacillati; Bacillota; Bacilli; Caryophanales; Staphylococcaceae
Description: bacterial SSU rRNA
Rfam family: Bacterial small subunit ribosomal RNA
Source: RNAcentral